This 433-nucleotide ribosomal RNA is filed under the name uncultured bacterium. Its description in RNAcentral is "partial 16S ribosomal RNA". It matches the Rfam family "Bacterial small subunit ribosomal RNA", at positions 29 to 507 of the family's 1533-position model. The record is from RNAcentral.
AACGAACGCUGGCGGCAUGCCUAACACAUGCAAGUCGAACGAGACCUUCGGGUCUAGUGGCGCACGGGUGCGUAACGCGUGGGAAUCUGCCCUUGGGUUCGGAAUAACAGUUGGAAACGACUGCUAAUACCGGAUGAUGACGUAAGUCCAAAGAUUUAUCGCCCAGGGAUGAGCCCGCGUAGGAUUAGCUAGUUGGUGGGGUAAAGGCCUACCAAGGCGACGAUCCUUAGCUGGUCUGAGAGGAUGAUCAGCCACACUGGGACUGAGACACGGCCCAGACUCCUACGGGAGGCAGCAGUGGGGAAUAUUGGACAAUGGGCGAAAGCCUGAUCCAGCAAUGCCGCGUGAGUGAUGAAGGCCUUAGGGUUGUAAAGCUCUUUUACCCGGGAUAAUAAUGACAGUACCGGGAGAAUAAGCCCCGGCUAACUCCGUG